AAUUGAGCAAAACAUCCGUUCAAAGCUCUUCAUUUCCAGACUGAAUCCUCCCUCAGAAAAGUUAGUCUUUCAAAUUUGCUUUCUCUUUCAAAAUAACUAACUGCAAAAGCCAUUUGGCUCCAGCUGUUACAAAAAUAUUUUCUGUUCCACCCACCACCCCCCCAAAAAAAGAAAGAAAAGAAAAAAAAAACGUCAGAAAACACUUCCACACACACACAUGCAGAGACUCAAGCAAUUAUUGUGUAACUCCAGUGACUUUCAUUUACUGUGUGCACCAUCAUGGUUAACAGAUUAUAUUGUUCACUUUGUCAAUAGACUUUAUUUCUAUAACACUUUUCAACCAGAAAUCUAGUUUUAAAAACUGCUCUUUGGUCCUCAUUUGGCUACAAUCGACUUCAUUCAUUCCAAUAGAGGAAACUUAAGGAACUAUGAACUAGUUGUGACAUCUUCAAGACAUUAAGGAAACACACACACAUGUGCAGCACACCCACUUUUUCUUCGGAAAUCUCAGUUUUUGGGGGGUGUGCUCCUAAAAGUCUACCUCCCUUCACUGUAACAAAUCCAGAGUGAAACUGCAGACAUUUCUGCUUGUUGAGCUUCACCCAGCAUGAAGGCAAGUACAUUUUGUUCUCUAAAACAGAGAUUCCUGGUCUAUGUUCGGCAUCUAUUGUGAAGUCCUUUUUGAUCUGUUUCUUGUUUGGAUCUUCUAUUUUCAGAACUUUUCACGUCUCUGCUCUGCGGCUUUGCCAUGGCUUCUUGUUCACUUUGCAACCGGAGGGUUCUGCCUCAGGAUUCACUGUAUGUGGGGAUCUUUUAGCAGCUGGUCAACGUGUGAUCCCUGCACAAAUCUACAGACCAGAAGUCGAGCCAUGGUCGUGUACCAGGCUUGUGAAACGACUCAGGGUUGCCCUUUAGACGAUGGAUGUGGGGCCGUUUUCGCUUGUAUUAGCAAAUCUCUGGUGUGCAACGGAGACCAAGACUGUGAGGGGGAUGGGCUCGAUGAGAAUGGCUGCACCAACCAACAAAAGUUUUCUGCGUGUGAACACACAGUGACCCCUCCUAAUGUUGAUCUAAUUGGUCUUGGGGUUGAUGUGGUCACUGGAAACCAAAGAGGCAGUGUCAUCAACACAAGGAGCUUUGGCGGCCAGUGUCGAACCAUCUUCAGUGGCGUCCACAAGGCUUUCUAUCGACUGCCUCUCAGCACCAUACAAUACAAUUUCUUGGUUAAAGUGCAGAACGACUUCAGUGAUGAGAUGUUCAGCAGUAAGUGGCAUUACGCCAAGGAUGUUGUCAACCGAGAAACGGUGACGGGGACCACGAAAGGAUAUAAAAACUACGACUUUCACGAGACACACGACACCUCUCAGUACCACAGGCUCCUAGUGUUAAAGAACGACAUAGAAGUAGCACAGUUCCAGAGCAACUCUCCACAGUAUAUCCCCAUUGCAGAGGAAUUCUGGAAGGCUUUGGCCAAACUCCCAUCCGUCUAUGACUACACGGCUUACAGGAAGGUUCUGGAGAGGUUCGGAACACACUAUGUGUCUCAGGGAAGCCUGGGGGAACUUUUCAAUAAGCUAUUGUUGCAUUUGUUUGGGUUAUUUGAACACAAUUUAUAUAAAUACCAUGCAUUUCCACCUUUGAUUUCAAGAUCUUAUUCCUACAACAACGUAGUGGCAAAAGUGGAAACAAAAGGAGGAGACGUCUCCCACUCCGCUGCGGUGCAGAGGAUGCAGCUUGACGACGCAAGCAAGAACUGGGAGAUGUACUCAAACUGGGCGGAUUCUAUCAGAUCCAUUCCAGAAAUCAUAAAACAAAAGCUGCGGCCGCUGUCAGAGCUGGUGAAGGACGUUCAGUGUGCCGGGGUGAAGAAGCUGUACCUGCGCAGAGCCAUCGAACAAUACCGUGCAGAGAGUGACCCCUGCCACUGCCAGCCCUGCAGAAACAAUGGCAUAGUUGUCAUGGAUGGUGACGUGUGCAAAUGCAUCUGCAAGCCUGGCACGUCAGGGGCGGCUUGUGAGCAAGGAAUUGAGGCUGAGGGCCAACGAGGAGUAAUCCACGGCAGUUGGACUUGCUGGUCUGCUUGGUCAGCAUGCUCCAGGGGUCAGAGGUCUCGAAGUCGCCAUUGCCAAAACCCCGCGCCCCAGAACGGAGGACAGCACUGCAUCGGUGAUACGGUUGAGAAGUCUUCCUGUGAUGAAGAAGAUCUGGAAUACCUGAAGACCAUGGAACCUCAGUGCUUUGACAACACUCUGCCACCAAGUCAGAAGUGUGAAACUCCCCCAGCUCUGAUCAAUGGCUUUAUUGUGAAUCCAAAGGAUAUUUACCUUGUGGGGGGUAGAGUUGAAUACAGCUGCAUUGUGGGUUUCCAUCUGCUUGGAAACGGCGUCCUGGAAUGCAAUUCUGACCAAGGCUGGUCUCCAAGCCUUGGCCAGUCUUCAUCUUGUAAACUAAAAUUCCUCAAUGAGGAGGUUCUAGCUUCUCCUACGAAAGAGGCUUAUGACAUCGGGGAGGCUGUCACCUUGUCUUGUCCGGAGGGCAGAAUCUUACAGGGAGAAGACCGAGUCCUGUGUGACUCCAGCUUGAAUUUUUCUCCAAAUCCUGCAGAAAUUACAUGCAGCCAAGUCGAAACCCUGCCUUCUCCCGUCACUCCCACAGUGAGCUGUGAGGCAUGGGAGAAGCCCUCCAAAGGCAAAUGUAUUUGCAAAAUCCCUCAUGAAUGCAGUUUGUCUAUGGAUAUUUGUGCCACAUCUCCAGGAAGUGGAAAAUUCAUCCCCAUGACUGUGUGCAAAAUGCAUGCCCUGAAGUGCAAUGGGAAGAAUUUUGAAAUAGCCGAAUACAGCAACUGCGUGUGGCCUCGGCGCAGCGCUCCGGACUGCAGCUCCUGCCACAUGUGGGAGAAAUGUGAUGAAUCAACCAGCAGCUGUCGCUGUAAGGAGCUUGCAGACUGUUUGAACGCUGUCAUAAAGGUGUGCGUCCGCGUUGGUGAGGAUGACACGGCGUCCAUGCAGACCAUGAGUGAGUGUGAAGCAGGAGUUCGACAAUGCAACGGAGAAAAGGUGUCUGUUAUCAGCAUCCGGCCCUGUGCUUCCUGAGGAUUCAGAGAACUGACAACCAUGUUUCCUUUCCUUUGUAAUCCACAUGUACUUUUUUAUUUGAAGGACCUUAACAUGCAUGUAUCCUUAGGAGGCAAUAAAACUCAGCAGGCCUCUCCCUGUUCA
Long non-coding RNA from Oryzias javanicus (javanese ricefish), 3218 nucleotides. Lineage: Eukaryota; Metazoa; Chordata; Actinopteri; Beloniformes; Adrianichthyidae. The record is from Ensembl.